RNAcentral lists this signal recognition particle RNA (99 nucleotides) under Paracoccus sp. S1E-3. Its description in RNAcentral is "signal recognition particle sRNA small type". It matches the Rfam family "Bacterial small signal recognition particle RNA". From Rfam's summary of the family: The signal recognition particle (SRP) is a universally conserved ribonucleoprotein involved in the co-translational targeting of proteins to membranes. Archaeal SRP consists of a 7S RNA and homologues of the eukaryotic SRP19 and SRP54 proteins. In most bacteria, the SRP consists of a 4.5S RNA and the Ffh protein (a homologue of the eukaryotic SRP54 protein). Lineage: Bacteria; Pseudomonadati; Pseudomonadota; Alphaproteobacteria; Rhodobacterales; Paracoccaceae. The record is from RNAcentral.
CGAGAGGCUGGCGCGGGCGGACGCAUCGCCAACCCGGUCAGGUCCGGAAGGAAGCAGCCGUAACGAAAUUCGUUCGGGUCGCUGUCCAGCCUCUCACCC